GGGAUGAGAUGGGGGGUUGGGGAGCAGGGUCCGAAGGGUCUCUGAUAUUUGGAAUUAUAGUGCCAGGAAAGCAAACAAGAGCCCCUGAAAAGAAACAAGCAGAAGGUUGGUGAUUGCACAACAAGGGGUCUCUAGAGAUGUCGUCAGACAGAUGGAGAAGGCUGGCGGGAGAGGAAGUGCAGAUGAGGAAACUGAGGCCCAGAGAGGAUUAAGUCACAUAGCAGCAGUCCUUCUCAGCCGUGAUGACUCUUGGCUACAAGUGACCAGAGAUGCUUCUAAACAUCGAACAAUGCACAGGACGGCAUCCCAGCAAGGAAUCAUCAGCCCCAAAGUCAACAGUGCAGUGUGGGAGGAAUCCAGCUUUAAACACACCUCCUCCUGGAAGCCCCUCUGGAUUUGACACACCUCCUGCCCUUCCUCCCCAACUCCACACCCUUUCCUUCUCCCCCUCGUAACCUCAGGAGAGGUUAAACAGGUAGAGGAGCCCAGGGCUGCGUCGGGAUGGUGUUAGGGUCAGGGUUGCCUGGCUCCGUGUCCCGUUGGGACACGGAGCCAGGUCCUGUCCCCAGUAUGGAGGUUCCGUGAUUAGAGCCUGGGACAUGCCUUAGUCCUGUGCCAAGCAAAGGUUAGAGCUGGGAUCAGAGCAUCGUGGGGUGAGGGGAUUGAGUUGUAGCUGAGCUGGAGCUGGUCGGGGGGCGGGGGCGGCUGCUGGGAUGAGAACUCUGCUGGGGAUGGUUUAGGGUCGUCAUUGCUGGAUACCCCAAACUCCUUCCAUUUGAGUCCUGAUCUAGGUCAAACGAGGAGAGAGACGCCGCUCCCCCAACGCGCAGAGGAUCCCAAAUCUGAAAGAAGAACCAACACCCACAGAUCUGGGGCCCACAUCCGCACAGCUUUCUGUUUUUUGCCUGAAGUGACCAGGAGGUGUGUUGACACCGCAGAGGGGACGCAGGUGGGGCAGUCCCGUGACUGGGUCCCUGGGGCCCCAGAGCAUUCUAGUGUUUGAGCUGCAGGCAGGGGGCUUUCG
This is a long non-coding RNA of Cebus imitator (Panamanian white-faced capuchin), 1024 nucleotides long. RefSeq lists it as uncharacterized. NCBI's taxonomy places the organism in Eukaryota, Metazoa, Chordata, Mammalia, Primates, Cebidae. The transcript has 3 exons. The record is from RefSeq and is a predicted model, not a curated record.